This is a long non-coding RNA of Cyprinus carpio (common carp), 330 nucleotides long. RefSeq lists it as uncharacterized. The record is from RefSeq and is a predicted model, not a curated record. Lineage: Eukaryota; Metazoa; Chordata; Actinopteri; Cypriniformes; Cyprinidae. The transcript is spliced from 4 exons.
AUACUUCCCCUCCUUCCUGUCACGAGCCACGCCGAACUGCCCUGACGCCAUGAAGAAAGAGCUGCUCCGGAGCCUGACGGAGUGUCUGACGGUGGACGGACAGAGUUUGAGCGUCUGGAGGCAGUUAUACACCAAACACCUGUCGCAGUCCAGUCUUCUGCUGAGUCACCUGCUGCAGUCCUGGAGCACUCUUCCACCGAAGUUGCAGAAAAACCUUCAGGACACCAUCCAGUAGUUCAGAGUGACCAAUGACGAGCUUCAGAGCAGCACAAACACACAGCACAUCAGCGACUGCAGCUGCCUCUGCCACGUAAGACACACACACACACA